Molecule: ribosomal RNA, 465 nt
Filed under: uncultured bacterium
Lineage: Bacteria
Description: partial 16S ribosomal RNA
Rfam family: Bacterial small subunit ribosomal RNA
Source: RNAcentral
CCUACGGGUGGCAGCAGUAGGGAAUUUUCGUCAAUGGGCGCAAGCCUGAACGAGCAAUGCCGCGUGAACGAGGAAGGUCUUCGGAUCGUAAAGUUCUGUUGAAGGGGAAAAAGAGCGGAGAGAGGAAAUGGUCUCCGAUUGAUAUUACCCUUCGAGGAAGUCACGGCUAACUACGUGCCAGCAGCCGCGGUAAUACGUAGGUGGCGAGCGUUAUCCGGAAUGUUUGGGCGUAAAGGGUGCGUAGGCGGCCUGCUAAGUCUGGAGUGAAAGGUACCGGCUCAACCGGUACAGGCUCUGGAAACUGGCGGGCUAGAGAGCAGGUGAGGGUGGUGGAACUCCAUGGGUAGCGGUAAAAUGCGUAGAUAUAUGGAAGAACACCAGUGGCGAAGGCGGCCGCCUGGCCUGUUGACUGACGCUGAGGCACGAAAGCGUGGGGAGCAAAUAGGAUUAGAUACCCGAGUAGUC